CCUACGGGAGGCAGCAGUGAGGAAUAUUGGUCAAUGGACGAGAGUCUGAACCAGCCAAGUAGCGUGAAGGAUGACUGCCCUAUGGGUUGUAAACUUCUUUUAUAAAGGAAUAAAACGAGGCACGUGUGCCUUUUUGCAUGUACUUUAUGAAUAAGGAUCGGCUAACUCCGUGCCAGCAGCCGCGGUAAUACGGAGGAUCCGAGCGUUAUCCGGAUUUAUUGGGUUUAAAGGGAGCGUAGAUGGGUUGUUAAGUCAGUUGUGAAAGUUUGCGGCUCAACCGUAAGAUUGCAAUUGAUACUGGCAGUCGUGAGUACAGUAGAGGUAAGCGGAAUUCGUGGUGUAGCGGUGAAAUGCUUAGAUAUCACGAAGAACCCCGAUUGCGAAGGCAGCUUACUAAACUGUGACUGACAUUGAUGCUCGAAAGUGUGGGUAUCAAACAGGAUUAGAUACCCUGGUAGUC
This 460-nucleotide ribosomal RNA is filed under the name uncultured bacterium. RNAcentral's name for it is "partial 16S ribosomal RNA". It matches the Rfam family "Bacterial small subunit ribosomal RNA", at positions 338 to 795 of the family's 1533-position model. The record is from RNAcentral.